Molecule: ribosomal RNA, 425 nt
Filed under: uncultured bacterium
Lineage: Bacteria
Description: partial 16S ribosomal RNA
Rfam family: Bacterial small subunit ribosomal RNA
Source: RNAcentral
GUGGGGAAUCUUAGACAAUGGGCGCAAGCCUGAUCUAGCCAUGCCGCGUGAGCGAUGAAGGCCUUAGGGUUGUAAAGCUCUUUCAGGGGGGAAGAUAAUGACGGUACCCCCAGAAGAAGCCCCGGCUAACUCCGUGCCAGCAGCCGCGGUAAUACGGAGGGGGCUAGCGUUGUUCGGAAUUACUGGGCGUAAAGCGCACGUAGGCGGACCAGAAAGUCAGGGGUGAAAUCCCGGGGCUCAACCCCGGAACUGCCUUUGAAACUCCUGGUCUUGAGGUCGAGAGAGGUGAGUGGAAUUCCGAGUGUAGCGGUGAAAUUCGUAGAUAUUCGGAGGAACACCAGUGGCGAAGGCGGCUCACUGGCUCGAUACUGACGCUGAGGUGCGAAAGCGUGGGGAGCAAACAGGAUUAGAAACCCUAGUAGUCC